RNAcentral lists this ribosomal RNA (432 nucleotides) under uncultured bacterium. RNAcentral's name for it is "bacterial SSU rRNA". It matches the Rfam family "Bacterial small subunit ribosomal RNA", at positions 32 to 477 of the family's 1533-position model. The record is from RNAcentral.
AAUCAACGCUGGCGGCGUGCCUAACACAUGCAAGUCGAACGCGAAAGCCCGCAAGGGUAAGUAGAGUGGCGCACGGGUGAGUAACACGUGGACAACCUGCCUUCGAGUGGGGAAUAACCUUCCGAAAGGAGGGCUAAUACCGCAUAACACCUCGGGACACAAGUUCUGGGGUUGAAAAGAGCAAUUUGCUCGAAGAGGGGUCCGCGCCUGAUUAGCUAGUUGGUGAGGUAACGGCUCACCAAGGCUUCGAUCAGUAGCCGUCCUGAGAGGGAGCACGGCCACACUGGAACUGAGACACGGUCCAGACUCCUACGGGAGGCAGCAGUGGGGAAUUUUUGGCAAUGGGCGAAAGCCUGACCAAGCAACGCCGCGUGGGUGAUGAAGUAUCUUGGUACGUAAACCCUUUCGGCAGGGACGAACCUAAUGACGGUA